UGAAUUUCCUCGCAAAUAAAUUAUUUAAACGAGAGCGGCAGUGCGAGUAUGUGAACAAAUAAGUAGGUAUGUAUGAACACUCGUAAGCGCCGCAGAGGAGCGGCCAUGUCUACUUACAUAACUGCUAAAUGCAUAAGUACGUGUCGUCGCAUAAGUAGCGAAAUUAGUGCUGAUAAUGUUAGAGGACCGAUUUCGAAUUGGACAAAUGGCACUCAUAAGGCCUCAUAAAGAGCACAAUUGUUUUGUUUACCUAAAGGUUUAAGGUUUAAAGUAAGGUGCGAAAAGCCAUGAAUAUACUUAUACAUUCGGUAUAAGAAGACUCGAUAGUCAUGACUAUCAACAAAUGGCGAAUUGAUAAAUUAAAUGAUAAAGCGACAAAUAGGCUCUUACUUCACGAGAACGAAGAUCACGAAAAUAAACCAAAGGUUUUGAGGAAUAUUUUGAUAAAAAAUAUUGGAAAUAGCAAAAGUCUACCUUUUGUUUGCUGACACUUUGCGCGGUCUGAAAUGAACACGGUGUUGGCGCGAGGGACGCGGCGCGCCGAGCAGUUCGCACGCGUACCUACACUCUUGCACUUGCUAACUGUUCAGCUAUUAUCGUGUGAUUAACCUACGGAAUGGAAGCUUUGAAGGCCAACUUCACAGCGCAGUCACUCACACAUAGCCGAGUACUUUGUAUUCACAUGUACACACAUUUGUAUAAAAUUUUUUCCUAGUACAACUGUAGUUACUGCUGAACAUGAGUGUGUGUAUGCUUUUUCGAUAUUUCCCAUCGCAGUUUUGAAAUCGAGCCCCAUUGAAGUCACCGACCGAAUAACAAAUAUAGCUGAUGUCUUCAGUUGGAAAUGUUUGGAUUGAUUAGCCAUUAUUUAUUGUCGAAUCGAAACUAUUAUGUGUGCUUCUAAAAACUGUUAGGUGAUUGUACUCUAUAACUGGUUUGAGCUAUGUAAUUAUGAACUGACAGCGGUGUCUCAAGCAUUUUAUUUUCUACUACUAUUAGUUCUCUUUGGUGCUCUUACGAAUAAUACAUAUAUGGACCUUGUAUUGUUAAUCAUCAACCGCCAAACAUUGUAAGCUUUAGAAACUUCCCCUCUCAACUUAUUUUUGGAGCACUUUCAUUCCUUUUCUGUUUGACUGGAUAUACAAAAAUUUAUGUAAAAACGUAUGUAUCAUGCAGUUCCGUUCAAUAACAGAAGGUAUUCGAAUGCUGUUUCAGCUCGGCGAGACGAAAAGCCGUUAACACGCCACCUUAGCAACGAGAGGCGCACGAGAAGAUCAAAUAAACAAACAAAUAAAGCUUAUUAGAUAGACAAACAUCAGCAAAAUAACAAAUCAUUUUAAGGCAGAGCAAGCAGCAGCAACAACAACUGCUGACUUAUUUAUCUUCGCACAGCUAAUGAAAAAUAAUAGGAGCACCUCGGAUAUUAUUUCAAGUUCAUUAUCACCUCCAUGAAUAGGAAAAACACCAGUCAGAUAAAACAAAUUGCCGUUAGACUGUACAUUAAGUUUUGUGAUACGAGCUCCAUAAAGAAAAUUCCUCUGGCAGCAUUCGAAAUUAUUUCGCAUAGGAUGGAAAUCAUCAGAACGUCUUCACAAACAUUUUUCUGGAUGUCACAUACACAGUUUUUCAUUUGAGCUGGUUUCCCCACCUAAGUUCCUAUCAUUCACAUGGUAUAUGUGGCACAUCUAUUGUCGGCGCCCGUGGCACGAAAAACCAAAAGUCAAAUUUUGUUGUAUGCUAACAAAAAUUGUCAAUUUUUAAGCACUUUAGCUGCGCGAAAACGCAUACAUAUGUAGGUAUGGUCUGUGUAUGUGUGUCUACAUGUGAGAGUCAGUUUAACAAUACAAAGUCGUCAUUGAUUACUUCGAAAGUCGUUGGGAAUCGAUUGUUUGAUUAUUUUCCUUUGCGUUGCCUACAUUGUCAUGGCCUUUGUUCAACUUUGGGUGGCUACGUUUAUCUUUGGCUGCGUACCUCUUAAACAUAUGUAUUUACAUAUACAUAUGUAUAACAGGAAAUAUCUUGCAGUUCUCUGGAUAUUUUCUCUUUGUUUUAAUAGAAUAAUAGUAGAAAUAGUAUUAACAUAAUCAAAUGGAGUUGCCUGGAAAGACUCUCUGAUAAAGCACCCAAGGAAAUUUCGAUUGAUAACAGAAGGAACAUCAAAUAUGUAGGUGAACUACAUUUAACAACCAACCCAGACACAAAAGACAAAUACAAACGUUUUUCGUAACGAAUUAUUCAGUUUUCAACGUUUAGUUCCUGCAUAAAUCAAUAAUCGUCGAUAGAUCGUGAUGUCAUAAAUUCAAAGCCAUUGAUUAUUGUCGAUUGUAAUUUGAUUGAUUUGAGCUAUUGAUGGAUCUACAACUGCAAUGAUCAAAUUGAUUGAUGUGUAGCGUUCUGUAUCUACAUACAUAUGUAUGUAUAUAAUUUGUUACUAAACGUUUUCAUGAGCAAUACAUACAUAUUUAUAAUUCGAAGGAAAUCAUCAUAUGAAUCAAUUGUCAUUGGCGUGUUGCGACUUGCUUAAGAUCGUGUUCAUAUAGUUCUCUCACAAACAUUAUAAAAAUCAUUCUUCAACAUCAUAAUCAAUUAUUUUCAUAGUUUUAUAAUUGAAAAUUUGUUCACUUUUUUCCA
Molecule: long non-coding RNA, 2631 nt
Organism: Bactrocera neohumeralis
Lineage: Eukaryota; Metazoa; Arthropoda; Insecta; Diptera; Tephritidae
Exons: 3
Source: RefSeq, a predicted model, not a curated record